Non-coding RNA from Cinara cedri, 472 nucleotides. The record is from the annotation of a GenBank genome assembly. NCBI's taxonomy places the organism in Eukaryota, Metazoa, Arthropoda, Insecta, Hemiptera, Aphididae.
UAUUUACAAUGCGACCGUUACUUAAUAUUAUAACCCGGGCGCGAUUCCGUCUCACUCCGAUCAUUGUUAUGCGCUGACCAUCUACGCUGCCCGAAUCGGAUAUUCCGCUCCGACGAAGUCGGUGUUCCAACACUGUGCACACCCGAAACGGUCGACAGAUACCACGACGACGGGCCCUAAUAGAUAAAGCAGAGGUAGAAAAGAAAAAGCCGGGAAAAAACGGGCCUCGAGAAUCGGCAAUGGGAUUCUAAGUGAGUGUAACACCGAUCGGGUUUUCGUUGUCGUGCGGAUUGUUAUCUUCCGGAAGAGUAUGUUCGAGUAUCCGGUCCGACGUAAAGACCGUCUCGGGGACGGCACGUCGCGUAACGAAUAGAUUUUUCUCCUGCGCAUAUAUUAAAUUUCGUAUUUUACGAAAAUUUGUUGCGAGUUUUCACUAAUGUGUUGUAAAUAAUACGUAUAUCGUGCGGUUGUA